This 440-nucleotide ribosomal RNA is filed under the name uncultured bacterium. RNAcentral describes it as "partial 16S ribosomal RNA". It matches the Rfam family "Bacterial small subunit ribosomal RNA", at positions 338 to 795 of the family's 1533-position model. The record is from RNAcentral.
CCUACGGGUGGCAGCAGUGGGGGAUAUUGCACAAUGGGGGAAACCCUGAUGCAGCGACGCCGCGUGAGUGAAGAAGUAUUUCGGGAUGUAAAGCUCUAUCAGCAGGGAAGAAAAUGAGAGUACCUGACCAAGAAGCCGCGGCUAACUACGUGCCAGCAGCCGCGGGAAUACGUAGGGGGCAAGCGUUAUCCGGAUUUACUGGUUGUAAAGGGAGCGUAGACGGUUGUGUAGGUCUGGAGGGAAAGCCCGGGGCCCAACCCCGGGACUGCUGUGGAAACUGUUUAACUGGAGUACAGGAGGGGUAGGCGGAAUGCCUGGUGUAGCGGUGAAAUGCGUAGAUAUCAGGAGGAACACCGGUGGCGAAGGCGGCUUACUGGACUGAAACUGACGCUGAGGCUCGAAAGCGUGGGGAGCAAACAGGAUUAGAUACCCCAGUAGUC